Molecule: ribosomal RNA, 651 nt
Filed under: Triticum aestivum (bread wheat)
Lineage: Eukaryota; Viridiplantae; Streptophyta; Magnoliopsida; Poales; Poaceae
Description: partial small subunit ribosomal RNA
Source: RNAcentral
GUGCCUUGGAACUGCCAAGGGCUUGGGAACCCCGAGGCAGUUCGUGAGCUUCGCAAUAUUGCAAGGCAAGAAGGGCCUGCUCUGGUUUUUGUCAUGGAGACUAAGAUAAGAGGCAAGAGAGUUGAGGAUCUGCGGCACACUCUAGGGUUUGCAGGCAGUUUUGUUGUGGACAGCGACGGUCUAAGCGGAGGCUUAGGACUGUUCUGGUCCAAUGAGGUGAAAGUGGAACUGAAGAAUUACAGCAAGAAUCAUAUUGAUGUAUUGGUACAGGAAGAUGCAGAUAGCACGGUCAGCCGGCGCUUCACGGGGUUCUAUGGAGCGCCGGAAGCAGCAGAUCGCCACCAUAGUUGGCGCUUUUUGCGUACUCUGCAUGCCAUGCCUCACGAUGCAUGGCUUUGCAUCGGUGACUUCAACGAAACCCUCUAUCCCCAUGAACACUUUAGUCUCUCAGCCCGUCCUGAGUGGCAGAUGAGGAAUUUUCGUGAAGUGACCGAUGAGUGUGCUCUCCAAGAUCUAGGUUGGUCAGGUGUUUCAUACACAUGGGACAAUGGUCAAGCCGGAGAUGCCAAUGUCAAGGCCAGGCUCGACGGGGCCUUUGCCAAUGAAGCGUUCAGACUUAUGCAGUGGAGUCAGAUCAUUGCUUUGUUGUGA